RNAcentral lists this long non-coding RNA (240 nucleotides) under Lathyrus oleraceus (garden pea). RNAcentral describes it as "Pisum sativum (pea) long non-coding RNA (PSAT_LNC037260)". The record is from RNAcentral. Lineage: Eukaryota; Viridiplantae; Streptophyta; Magnoliopsida; Fabales; Fabaceae.
UUGGUUCUUGAUCACCAAGCAUAUUGCAUUUGUAUAUCAUGGCCUUUCAUAUGUUUACUAACCAAAAGUACAAAAAUAUUGUCAUCUAACCAUGUUACUUGCAGAUGAAGCAAUCAACAGUCAAUCAGUCAAAUUAGUCAUUGAACAGUGGAUGGUGGCCAUUCUUGAAGAAUUUGGGAACCAUGAUCAUAAUCAAGAGUUCAUAUAAGUUGUGAUGUCAUUUGGUAUCAAGAUCUCAAG